CUCUCCCUUCAGUCAAAACACUUUCUCAGUUAUUUUAUUUUUUUGAAACUCUCAAGCUCUACUAGAAGAAAUCAACGGAAGCUUAGGAAGAAGAAGAAGAUGUCGUGGCAAGCUUAUGUUGAUGAUCACUUGCUGUGUGAUAUCGAAGGCAACCAUCUCACUGCCGCGGCUAUCAUCGGCCAAGACGGCAGCGUUUGGGCCCAGAGCUCCAAUUUCCCUCAGUUUAAGAUGGAAGAAAUCACGGGCAUCAUGAAUGACUUCAAUGAGCCUGGAUCACUUGCCCCGACUGGAUUGUACCUUGGUGGCACUAAAUACAUGGUGAUCCAAGGUGAACCAGGAGCCGUUAUUCGAGGGAAGAAGGGACCUGGAGGUGUUACCGUUAAAAAGACCAAUCAGGCCUUGAUCAUUGGAAUCUAUGAUGAACCAAUGACCCCCGGGCAGUGCAACAUGGUUGUCGAAAGGCUCGGUGAUUAUCUGAUUGAGCAGGGUCUUUGAUCUCUUUGCUGUGUCCUUUAUUUGUAGCAAUUCUUCUUGGCAUUUAUACAGAAGUGCUCUUGGUUACCUCAUGUUGUAAUUUUUGGUGUUUGUAAGUCAUGCUUAUGAUCUCCUGCUCUGUUUACGAACUUGUUUCGUGGAUGGUGUUAUUGAAGGUCUGAGUUUAUGUUGGCUUUCUCUAA
Hibiscus syriacus is the source of this 677-nucleotide RNA transcript. It is a transcript of the gene named profilin-1, with no coding region annotated. Lineage: Eukaryota; Viridiplantae; Streptophyta; Magnoliopsida; Malvales; Malvaceae. The transcript has 4 exons. The record is from RefSeq and is a predicted model, not a curated record.